UACAGAGGGUGCAAGCGUUGUCCGGAAUUAUUGGGCGUAAAGAGCGCGUAGGCGGUCCGAUAAGUCGGCUGUGAAAGUCAAGGGCUCAACCCUUGAAAGCCGGCCGAUACUGUCGGACUAGAGUCCGGAAGAGGCGAUUGGAAUUCCCGGUGUAGCGGUGAAAUGCGUAGAGAUCAUGAGGAAGACCAGUGGCGAAGGCGGGUCUCUGGACAGUUCCUGACACUGAGGCACGAAGGCCAGGGGAGCAAACGGG
RNAcentral lists this ribosomal RNA (253 nucleotides) under uncultured bacterium. RNAcentral's name for it is "partial 16S ribosomal RNA". It matches the Rfam family "Bacterial small subunit ribosomal RNA", at positions 524 to 776 of the family's 1533-position model. The record is from RNAcentral.